RNAcentral lists this ribosomal RNA (492 nucleotides) under uncultured bacterium. RNAcentral describes it as "partial 16S ribosomal RNA". It matches the Rfam family "Bacterial small subunit ribosomal RNA", at positions 29 to 507 of the family's 1533-position model. The record is from RNAcentral.
AGUGAACGCUGGCGGUAGGCCUAACACAUGCAAGUCGAACGGCAGCACAGUAAGAGCUUGCUCUUACGGGUGGCGAGUGGCGGACGGGUGAGGAAUACAUCGGAAUCUACUUUUUCGUGGGGGAUAACGUAGGGAAACUUACGCUAAUACCGCAUACUACCUACGGGUGAAAGCAGGGGAUCUUCGGACCCUGCGCGAUUGAAUGAGCCGAUGUCGGAUUAGCUAGUUGGCGGGGUAAAGGCCCACCAAGGCGACGAUCCGUAGCUGGUCUGAGAGGAUGAUCAGCCACACUGGAACUGAGACACGGUCCAGACUCCUACGGGAGGCAGCAGUGGGGAAUAUUGGACAAUGGGCGCAAGCCUGAUCCAGCCAUACCGCGUGGGUGAAGAAGGCCUUCGGGUUGUAAAGCCCUUUUGUUGGGAAAGAAAAGCAGCAGGUUAAUACCCCGCUGUUCUGACGGUACCCAAAGAAUAAGCACCGGCUAACUUCGUG